UAAGAGAAGGGAUAUAUCGUACUUUCAA
RNAcentral lists this non-coding RNA (28 nucleotides) under Bombyx mori (domestic silkworm). Lineage: Eukaryota; Metazoa; Arthropoda; Insecta; Lepidoptera; Bombycidae. The record is from RNAcentral.